Molecule: ribosomal RNA, 718 nt
Filed under: uncultured Desulfitobacterium sp.
Lineage: Bacteria; Bacillati; Bacillota; Clostridia; Eubacteriales; Desulfitobacteriaceae
Description: bacterial SSU rRNA
Rfam family: Bacterial small subunit ribosomal RNA
Source: RNAcentral
GAGUUUGAUCCUGGCUCAGGACGAAGCAAAGCGGCGUGCCUAACACAUGCAAGUCGAACGGAGAACUCAAAAAGCUUGCUUUGAGAGUUCUUAGUGGCGGACGGGUGAGUAACGCGUGGGCAACCUCCCCCUUAAACCGGGACAACCCUUGGAAACGAGGGCUAAUACCGGAUACACUUUUCUGAGGACAUCCUCGGGAAAGGAAAGGCGGCCUCUGAAGAUGCUGCCGAUAAGGGAUGAACCCGCGUCUGAUUAGCUGGUUGGUGGGGUAAAGGCCUACCAAGGCGACGAUCAGUAGCCGGCCUGAGAGGGUGAACGGCCACACUGGGACUGAGACACGGCCCAGACUCCUACGGGAGGCAGCAGUGGGGAAUCUUCCGCAAUGGACGAAAGUCUGACGGAGCAACGCCGCGUGUAUGACGAAGGCCUUCGGGUUGUAAAGUACUGUCUUUAGGGACGAACGGUAUCUAUGUGAACAAUGUAGGUACAUGACGGUACCUAAGGAGGAAGCCCCGGCUAACUACGUGCCAGCAGCCGCGGUAAUACGUAGGGGGCGAGCGUUGUCCGGAAUCAUUGGGCGUAAAGGGCGCGUAGGCGGAUUUUUAAGUCUGGUGUGAAAACUUGGGGCUCAACCCCAAGCCUGCAUCGGAAACUGGGAAUCUUGAGGACAGGAGAGGAAAGUGGAAUUCCACGUGUAGCGGUGAAAUGCGUAGAGAUG